RNAcentral lists this long non-coding RNA (2923 nucleotides) under Sus scrofa (pig). RNAcentral's name for it is "lncRNA (ENSSSCG00025047582.1)". Lineage: Eukaryota; Metazoa; Chordata; Mammalia; Artiodactyla; Suidae. The record is from RNAcentral.
GCGGAGCAGCGGCUGCCCCCGACCCGGCGCGCGCCCCGCGCUUCCGGCGGCCGGGAAGGGCAGGGUGCCUGUGGGCCGCGUGUCCUGAGCGCAGGUCCUUCGGUCCUGGGAGGGAGCCGUGGGCGGAUUUCAGCCCUCCGGGCCGGUCAGUCUUGCUCCGAGACCCUGGAGAUGCGAUAAGCGGCAGGAGCUGGUGUCGCGCCGCGAGUUUGGGAAGAAUCCCCGGCGGCUGGGAGGCCGGACGGCCGCCCUGCCUUAAACCCAGGGCCGAUUUCUUCGGGCCUCAGCGGCCCGCCUCGCACUUUCCGGCCGCCCUGCAGCCCCUCCUCCGGUCCACUGUUUGGCCAUCUAUCUGGCUCCUCGCCAAGCAGGGUGGCCUUGAAGCCUUAUGUUCAGAAGUCGCACCGACCUGGAGGCCCGGGUGCGCGGAAGGGGCACUGCAACGACCAGUUUACAAAGAGCCCCAGGACCAGAGGACCGGACUGCUCUUACUGUAGUUCUUGUGAAAAAGAAAAGGAGCCAAUGUUUCCAUUAAUGCUUCAAGAAUGUUCAGAACUCGACGGCGCCAAAGGAUUGCAGAGCAGAGCGGCUGAAGAGCCGUGAACAAUUCCAAAGGCUGUGGCCUCCAUUCCCAGUGAAGCCCGAAUUACAACUUGCCAACCUACUAAGCCUUCCUCCUCCUCUUUCACGUGGAUCCGCGUUUCUUGUUCUUCAUUGCUUCGUCUUCCCUUAGAGCGAAGGAAUCUGUCAUUUAACGGGGGAUACACCGAGGAGCCGAGAGUUUAUCUUUUCAGCCUGUGUCACAGUUGGAGGGAAAGUUGCUAAGUGACUUCUUAAGAAGAGAGCGAGUAGGGCAUUUUCUGUUUUCCCUUCACAAAACAUUUUGUUGUUGUUUGAGGCCUUAGUUGUUUUUUAUUUUUUCCUUCCGGUGGGCCCCCCACCCCACCCCCCGUCCAGAGAGGUUCAGGUCCCUGGAAGAGAAACUUUACCGAUGUGAUUACGUUAAGAAUCUUAAAGAGAUUAUCCUGGAUGGUCCAGUGGGCCCAGUGUAAUCGGAAAGGUCCUUACCAGUAGGAGGUGGGCGCGUCAGAGUCCAUGUGUCAAUGGAAGCAGCGGCUGGAGUGGAUGCAGUGGGAGAAAGACCCAGCCGAACAGUGAUGGCUUUGAACAUUGGAGGAAGGGGACCCAGGUCCCAGAAUGCAGGUGGCCUCGGAAAGGGAGAAAAAGUCGGGAAACAGAGUCUUCCUUUGAGCCUCCAGGGGGAACACAGUCUUGGCGACACCUUGAAUUGAGCCCACUGAGACCAACUGUGGACUUGCGGCCUUCGGAGCAGGAAGGUAAGACACAUGCGUUCUAUUUAAGCCACUACAUUUGAGGUGAUUUAUCCCAGCAGCAGUAGGAGACUCAUACCCCGCCAAAGGGGAAAUUCCUGCCCUUCUUUCCACUUUAAUGGAAAGAAGGGGGUUCCCUGGAGACAGAAGACCACUGGACUGGAGCUGUUGGGAGGGGAGUGCGCGCCUGCGGUUGGGGGAGGAGUGGUAGGGGCUCCCUGGACAUACGCACAUCCUUCGUCAUUCCAAAGGGGUGAAAGCCAGCACCACGGGCUGUUAUCUGUGUGGCACUUCCACGCACUGUUUUAGCCUUUAACUCCAUGUGGCCACUUUUAUUUCCCUUGUUAUUGGCCUGGAAGACGCCCAGAUGGUAUUCAUCUUUUUUUUUUUUUUCUUUUUAGGGCCACACCUGCAGCAUAUGGUUCCCAGGCUCGGGGUUGAUUGGAGCUCCAACUGCCUGCACCACAGCCACAGCCACACCAGGUCCAAGCCGAAUCUUCGCCCUUCACCACAGCUUAUGGCAACCCUGGGUCCUUAAGCCACUGAGUGAGGCCAGGGAUCGAACCCCAAUCCUCAUGGAUACUAGUUGAGUUCUUAACCCACUGAGCCACAACGGGACCUCCCGGCAUUCAUCUUUAUGUCCCUUUUGUUCCUAGUGCCUUUUUCGAUUCCAUGAGGCAUUUCACACUUCCCAGAGCCCUAGUGUGGCCAUAUUCAUUUUGCGUCUUAGCACAAUUCUCAUAAAGUCAGGCAAGACUGGUAGUAGUCGUAUUAAUAUUUUUCAUGUUGUACGAAAGACAAGCAUUCAACUUUCUCUGAUACCUAGGCUCCUGUUGCUCCAGUAUUCCUUCCAUUUUCUCUGCAAAGUGAAUGCCUGAGCACCAGUGAGGAAGCCGAAGCACUUGCAGAUGUCUAAAGGUCCUGAAACUGGGCUCUGGGGGGUCCAGGGUUGCUAUGGGGACCACCUGGCUUCUUCCCUCUUAACAUAGGAGGAAAUUAUUUUGUCCACCUGGUGGUGGAGGGAAAACUCCACAGCAGAGAAACCCAUCCUGCUUCUCAAGGACACUGAGGGAUGUUGAUGGGAAGAGGGAAAAGGCCCCUCCGGGUGCCGGAGGCAGGCGAGGCCAACCUCGGGGGUCCCCGCUGUGCGCCAGUGCUUCUUCAUGGACUGUCCUAAGGAAAUGUCGCUAUGGAGGUAGGGUUAGCAAUGGUCAUGCUUUGGGGCUAGACCUCAGGAACUGGCCUGAGGACAGGUGGGAAGAGAAUGGUACCCAUCACAGUUGGUUUCUCAUUUAAAACCAAACAAACAAAAACUUAGUAUCCCAUCAACAUUCUCAUUUACAGAGCCAGCACUGUCUCUGGAAUUGGAGACAGUUUCAAGUCAUAGGUCUCCACUUAGCAGUGGUGUCACUUUGGCAACUCACUUUGCCUGGAUGCGAUCCCAGUUCAUCUGCAGAACACAGAUAACACCUACCCUGCACAUCGUGGGGAAGAUAAAAAUAAUAUAUGUAAAAUACCUGGAAAAUAAGCAGCCCUCAAAUGAUAGCCAUAUUAUUCAUAAUCAAGGAAACAGGAGGCGAGGAUUUCUCAAG